AUUGAACGCUGGCGGCGUGCUUAACACAUGCAAGUCGAUCGGUAACAGGUGUAGCAAUACAUGCUGACGAGAGGCGGACGGGUGAGUAAUGCUUGGGAAUCUGCCUAUUAGUGGGGACAACCCGGGGAAACUCGGGCUAAUACCGCAUACGCUCUAACGGAGGAAAGCCGGGGACCGCAAGGCCUGGCGCUAAUAGAUGAGCCCAAGUCGGAUUAGCUAGUUGAGGUACGGCCUACCAGCGACAAUCCGUAGCUGGUCUGAGAGGACGACCAGCCACACCGGAACUGAGACACGGUCCGGACUCCUACGGGAGGCAGCAGUGGGGAAUAUUGGACAAGUGGGGCAACCCUGAUCCAGCGAACGCCGCGUGGGUGAAGAAGGCCUGCGGGUUGU
This 393-nucleotide ribosomal RNA is filed under the name uncultured bacterium. RNAcentral's name for it is "bacterial SSU rRNA". It matches the Rfam family "Bacterial small subunit ribosomal RNA", at positions 29 to 426 of the family's 1533-position model. The record is from RNAcentral.